GAUGAACGCUGGCGGCGUGCCUAAUACAUGCAAGUCGAGCGAACAGACGAGGAGCUUGCUCCUCUGACGUUAGCGGCGGACGGGUGAGUAACACGUGGAUAACCUACCUAUAAGACUGGGAUACCUUCGGGAAACCGGAGCUAAUACCGGAUAAUAUAUUGAACCGCAUGGCUCAAUAGUGAAAGACGGUUUUGCUGUCACUUAUAGAUGGAUCCGCGCCGCAUUAGCUAGUUGGUAAGGUAACGGCUUACCAAGGCAACGAUGCGUAGCCGACCUGAGAGGGUGAUCGGCCACACUGGAACUGAGACACGGUCCAGACUCCUACGGGAGGCAGCAGUAGGGAAUCUUCCGCAAUGGGCGAAAGCCUGACGGAGCAACGCCGCGUGAGUGAUGAAGGUCUUCGGAUCGUAAAACUCUGUUAUUAGGGAAGAACAAAUGUGUAAGUAACUAUGCACGUCUUGACGGUACCUAAUCAGAAAGCCACGGCUAACUACGUG
RNAcentral lists this ribosomal RNA (497 nucleotides) under uncultured bacterium. RNAcentral describes it as "partial 16S ribosomal RNA". It matches the Rfam family "Bacterial small subunit ribosomal RNA", at positions 28 to 507 of the family's 1533-position model. The record is from RNAcentral.